RNAcentral lists this ribosomal RNA (313 nucleotides) under uncultured bacterium. Its description in RNAcentral is "bacterial SSU rRNA". It matches the Rfam family "Bacterial small subunit ribosomal RNA", at positions 49 to 362 of the family's 1533-position model. The record is from RNAcentral.
AAACACGUGCAGUCGAGCGGCUCAGGGGAAGCUUGUUUCCCGCUGACGAGCGGCGGACGGGUGAGUAAUGCUUAUGAAUCUGCCCAGUACUGGGGGAUAGCCCGGGGAAACCCGGAUUACUACCGGAUACGUCCUAGGGGAUAAAGCUUGGGAUCUUCGGACCUUGCGCUAUUGGAUGAUCCUAAGUCGGAUUAUCUAGUUGGUGUGGUACAGGCCUAUUCAGGCGACGAUUCGUAGCUGGUCUGAUAGGAUUAUCAGCCCCAUCGGGACUGAGACAAGGCCCGAACUCCUACUGGAGGCAGCAGUGGAGAUU